This 440-nucleotide ribosomal RNA is filed under the name uncultured bacterium. RNAcentral's name for it is "partial 16S ribosomal RNA". It matches the Rfam family "Bacterial small subunit ribosomal RNA", at positions 338 to 795 of the family's 1533-position model. The record is from RNAcentral.
CCUACGGGAGGCAGCAGUGAGGAAUAUUGCACAAUGGGGGAAACACUGAAGCAGCGACGCAGCGUGAGUGAGGAAGGAUCUCGGUAUGGAAAGCUCUAUCAGCAGGGAAGAAAAUGACGGUACCUGACUUAGAAGCCACGGCUAACUACGUGCCAGAUGCGGCGGUAAUACGGAGGGGGCAAGCGUUAUCCGGAUUUACUGGGUGUAAAGGGAGCGUAGUGGGUUAAUCAAGUACGAAGUGAAAACCCUGGGCUCAACCUUGGGACUGCUUUUGAAACUGGGUUGCUAGAGUGCAGGAGAGGUAAGUGGAAUUCCUGGUGUAGCGGUGAAAUGCGUAGAUAUUAGGAGGAACACCAGUGGCGAAGGCGGCUUACUGGACUGCAACUGACGUUGAGGCUCGAAAGCGUGGGGAUCAAACAGGAUUAGAUACCCUAGUAGUC